Molecule: ribosomal RNA, 456 nt
Filed under: Triticum aestivum (bread wheat)
Lineage: Eukaryota; Viridiplantae; Streptophyta; Magnoliopsida; Poales; Poaceae
Description: partial small subunit ribosomal RNA
Source: RNAcentral
AUGAUUGCGGAGGCCUCUAAGUGGGUGUUGGAAGAGAUCAACCAAUGGAUGCGUGCGUUCUUUUGGGCAGGGAAAGACAAAGUGAAAGGUGGACAGUGCUUGGUGGCCUGGAGUACGAUUUGCAGACCCACGUACUUGGGUGGGCUGGGUGUGAGAGAUCUGGAACUUCAAGGGCUUGCUCUGAGGGUGAGAUGGGAAUGGCUAAAGAGGACGGACCCCACGAGGCCUUGGCAGUUGCUUGCCAUGAUGGAGGACAAAGACGCUAGAGAGGUUUUUGACAGCCUUGUCAAGAUCGAAGUGGGAGAUGGCAGUAAGGUUCUGUUUUGGAGAGAUAGAUGGAUCCAUGGUUUUGCGGUCGCGGACAUUGCGCCUUUGCUGCAUAACAUGGUGGACACCCGCAUGAGGAACCGCGCGCACGGUGAGAGAUGCUUUGGAGAACAGCAGAUAGCUGCAUGA